CGUAGGGUGCGAGCGUUAAUCGGAAUUACUGGGCGUAAAGCGUGCGCAGGCGGUUUGGUAAGACAGACGUGAAAUCCCCGGGCUUAACCUGGGAACUGCGUUUGUGACUGCCAGACUAGAGUGUAGCAGAGGGGGGUAGAAUUCCACGUGUAGCAGUGAAAUGCGUAGAUAUGUGGAGGAAUACCGAUGGCGAAGGCAGCCCCCUGGGCUAACACUGACGCUCAUGCACGAAAGCGUGGGGAGCAAACAGGAUUAGAUACCCUGGUAGUCCACGCCCUAAACGAUGUCAACUAGGUGUUGGGGAAGGAGACUUCUUUAGUACCGCAGCUAACGCGAUAAGUUGACCGCCUGGGGAGUACGGUCGCAAGAUUA
Molecule: ribosomal RNA, 372 nt
Filed under: uncultured bacterium
Lineage: Bacteria
Description: bacterial SSU rRNA
Rfam family: Bacterial small subunit ribosomal RNA
Source: RNAcentral